Molecule: transfer RNA, 66 nt
Filed under: Graneledone verrucosa
Lineage: Eukaryota; Metazoa; Mollusca; Cephalopoda; Octopoda; Octopodidae
Description: tRNA-Leu
Source: RNAcentral
AUAAAGUUGGCAGAAAUAUGUAAAUAAUUUAGGGUUAUUUUAUGAAAGAUAAUACUUUUACUUUAU